RNAcentral lists this non-coding RNA (21 nucleotides) under Arabidopsis thaliana (thale cress). Lineage: Eukaryota; Viridiplantae; Streptophyta; Magnoliopsida; Brassicales; Brassicaceae. The record is from RNAcentral.
UGCCAAAUUGCAGGCCAGCGU